UCCUGACUGACCGAUAGUGAACCAGUACCGUGAGGGAAAGGCGAAAAGAACCCCGGCGAGGGGAGUGAAAAAGAACCUGAAACCGUGUACGUACAAGCAGUGGGAGCACGCUUAGGCGUGUGACUGCGUACCUUUUGUAUAAUGGGUCAGCGACUUAUAUUCUGUAGCAAGGUUAACCGAAUAGGGGAGCCGAAGGGAAACCGAGUCUUAACUGGGCGUUAAGUUGCAGGGUAUAGACCCGAAACCCGGUGAUCUAGCCAUGGGCAGGUUGAAGGUUGGGUAACACUAACUGGAGGACCGAACCGACUAAUGUUGAAAAAUUAGCGGAUGACUUGUGGCUGGGGGUGAAAGGCCAAUCAAACCGGGAGAUAGCUGGUUCUCCCCGAAAGCUAUUUAGGUAGCGCCUCGUGAAUUCAUCUCCGGGGGUAGAGCACUGUUUCGGCAAGGGGGUCAUCCCGACUUACCAACCCGAUGCAAACUGCGAAUACCGGAGAAUGUUAUCA
Molecule: ribosomal RNA, 503 nt
Filed under: Escherichia coli
Lineage: Bacteria; Pseudomonadati; Pseudomonadota; Gammaproteobacteria; Enterobacterales; Enterobacteriaceae
Also listed under: 1 other name
Description: partial 23S ribosomal RNA
Rfam family: Bacterial large subunit ribosomal RNA
Source: RNAcentral